RNAcentral lists this ribosomal RNA (996 nucleotides) under uncultured bacterium. Its description in RNAcentral is "bacterial SSU rRNA". It matches the Rfam family "Bacterial small subunit ribosomal RNA", at positions 355 to 1375 of the family's 1533-position model. The record is from RNAcentral.
UGGGGGAUAUUGCACAAUGGGGGAAACCCUGAUGCAGCGACGCCGCGUGGAGGAAGAAGGUUUUCGGAUUGUAAACUCCUGUCGUUAGGGACGAUAAUGACGGUACCUAACAAGAAAGCACCGGCUAACUACGUGCCAGCAGCCGCGGUAAAACGUAGGGUGCAAGCGUUGUCCGGAAUUACUGGGUGUAAAGGGAGCGCAGGCGGACCGGCAAGUUGGAAGUGAAAACUAUGGGCUCAACCCAUAAAUUGCUUUCAAAACUGCUGGCCUUGAGUAGUGCAGAGGUAGGUGGAAUUCCCGGUGUAGCGGUGGAAUGCGUAGAUAUCGGGAGGAACACCAGUGGCGAAGGCGACCUACUGGGCACCAACUGACGCUGAGGCUCGAAAGCAUGGGUAGCAAACAGGAUUAGAUACCCUGGUAGUCCAUGCCGUAAACGAUGAUUACUAGGUGUUGGAGGAUUGACCCCUUCAGUGCCGCAGUUAACACAAUAAGUAAUCCACCUGGGGAGUACGACCGCAAGGUUGAAACUCAAAGGAAUUGACGGGGGCCCGCACAAGCAGUGGAGUAUGUGGUUUAAUUCGAAGCAACGCGAAGAACCUUACCAGGUCUUGACAUCCGAUGCAUAGUGCAGAGAUGCAUGAAGUCCUUCGGGACAUCGAGACAGGUGGUGCAUGGUUGUCGUCAGCUCGUGUCGUGAGAUGUUGGGUUAAGUCCCGCAACGAGCGCAACCCUUAUUGCCAGUUACUACGCAAGAGGACUCUGGCGAGACUGCCGUUGACAAAACGGAGGAAGGUGGGGAUGACGUCAAAUCAUCAUGCCCUUUAUGACCUGGGCUACACACGUACUACAAUGGCGUUUAACAAAGAGAAGCAAGACCGCGAGGUGGAGCAAAACUCAAAAACAACGUCUCAGUUCAGAUUGCAGGCUGCAACUCGCCUGCAUGAAGUCGGAAUUGCUAGUAAUCGCGGAUCAGCAUGCCGCGGUGAAUACGUUCCC